Solea solea (common sole) is the source of this 185-nucleotide small nucleolar RNA. RefSeq annotates it as small nucleolar RNA SNORD97. Lineage: Eukaryota; Metazoa; Chordata; Actinopteri; Pleuronectiformes; Soleidae. The transcript has a single exon. The record is from RefSeq and is a predicted model, not a curated record.
AUGCUCACUGAUUAUAAAAGACGCGUUAUCUGAGGAAGACAACCAGCUACUACUCUUGUCUUCUACCUUUGGCUCCAUCUUUCUUUGAUCUCCUCUGUCUUUGCUCACCUCCCUCCUCUCCCUCUACAUCUUUUCUUCAAACUAGUAGCUGGUCCACUGAUUGCGAUUAUGAGAUAUGAGGGCAU